GGGGGGGGGGGGGGGGGGGGGGGGGGGGGGCGGGGCGGGGGGGGGGGCGGGGGGCUGGCGCCGCGGACGGUAGCGGCGGGCGGGGGAGGACCACGUGGAUGGCCUACCUAUAGGGCUGGGGGGCCUGCGGGACACCGGGGCUACUACCGGAGAAUAUAUUGCACCGCAUGGGUCAAUAGUGACAGACGGUUUUGCUGUCACUUAUAGAUGGAUCCGCGCCGCAUUAGCUAGUUGGUAAGGUAACGGCUUACCAAGGCGACGAUGCGUAGCCGACCUGAGAGGGUGAGCGGCCACACUGGAACAGAGACACGGUCCAGACUCCUACGGGAGGCAGCAGUAGGGAAUCUUCCGCAAUGGGCGAAAGCCUGACGGAGCAACGCCGCGUGAGUGAUGAAGGUCUUCGGAUCGUAAAACUCUGUUAUUAGGGAAGAACAAAUGUGUAAGUAACUAUGCACGUCUUGACGGUACCUAAUCAGAAAGCCACGGCUAACUACGUG
RNAcentral lists this ribosomal RNA (497 nucleotides) under uncultured bacterium. RNAcentral's name for it is "partial 16S ribosomal RNA". It matches the Rfam family "Bacterial small subunit ribosomal RNA", at positions 38 to 507 of the family's 1533-position model. The record is from RNAcentral.